UACGUAGGGUCCGAGCGUUGUCCGGAAUUAUUGGGCGUAAAGAGCUCGUAGGCGGUGUGUCGCGUCGGCCGUGAAAACCUGCAGCUUAACUGUGGGCUUGCGGUCGAUACGGGCAUCACUGGAGUUCGGCAGGGGAGACUGGAAUUCCUGGUGUAGCGGUGAAAUGCGCAGAUAUCAGGAGGAACACCGGUGGCGAAGGCGGUUCUCUGGGCAUGAUCUGACGCUGAGGAGCGAAAGUGUGGGGAGCGAACAGG
RNAcentral lists this ribosomal RNA (254 nucleotides) under uncultured bacterium. Its description in RNAcentral is "partial 16S ribosomal RNA". It matches the Rfam family "Bacterial small subunit ribosomal RNA", at positions 524 to 776 of the family's 1533-position model. The record is from RNAcentral.